GACGAUGGUUAGCUGGUCUGAGAGGAUGAUCAGCCACACUGGAACUGACACACGGUCCAGACUCCUACGGGAGGCAGCAGUGAGGAAUUUUGCGCAAUGGGGGAAACCCUGACGCAGCAACGCCGCGUGAGUGAUGAAGGCUUUCGGGUCGUAAAGCUCUGUCAAGUGGGAAGAAACCACGAGGUGAUAAUAUCGCUUUGUGCUGACGGUACCACUGAAGGAAGCACAGGCUAACUCCGUGCCAGCAGCUGCGGUAAUACGGGGGGUGCAAGCGUUAUUCGGAAUCAUUGGGCGUAAAGGGCACGUAGGCGGUUUGUUAAGUCAGAUGUGAAAGCCCGGGGCUCAACCCCGGAAGUGCAUUUGAUACUGGCGGACUUGAGUAUGGGAGAGGGAAGUGGAAUUCCUGGUGUAGAGGUGAAAUUCGUAGAUAUCAGGAGGAACACCGGUGCGAAGGCGACUUCCUGGACCAAUACUGACGCUGAGGCGCGAAGGCGUGGGUAGCAAACAGGAUUAGAUACCCUGGUAGUCCACGCAGUAAACGGUGAUCACUAGGUGUAGCGGGUAUUGACCCCUGCUGUGCCGCAGUUAACGCAUUAAGUGAUCCGCCUGGGGAGUACGGCCGCAAGGUUAAAACUCAAAGGAAUUGACGGGGGCCCGCACAAGCGGUGGAGCAUGUGGUUUAAUUCGACGCAACGCGAAGAACCUUACCUGGGUUUGACAUCUCGGGGAUUUUUUGGAAACAAGAAAGUGCCCUUCGGGGAGCCCGAAGACAGGUGCUGCAUGGCUGUCGUCAGCUCGUGUCGUGAGAUGUUGGGUUAAGUCCCGCAACGAGCGCAACCCUUAUCUUUAGUUACCAUCACUUCGGGUGGGGACUCUAAAGAUACUGCCCCGGUCAACGGGGAGGAAGGUGGGGAUGACGUCAAGUCCUCAUGGCCUUUAUGCCCAGGGCUACACACGUGCUACAAUGGGCGAUACAAAGGGUAGCGAGCCUGCGAAGGUGAGCCAAUCCCAAAAAGUCGUUCUUAGUUCGGAUUGGAGUCUGCAACUCGACUCCAUGAAGCUGGAAUCGCUAGUAAUCGCGGAUCAGCACGCCGCGGUGAAUACGUUCCCGGGCCUUGUACACACCGCCCGUCACACCAUGAGAGUUGGUUGUACCAGAAGUUGUUGGGCUAACCCGCAAGGGAGGCAGGCACCUAAGGUAUGGCUGAUGAUUGGGGUGAAGUCGUAACAAGGUA
Molecule: ribosomal RNA, 1235 nt
Filed under: metagenome
Description: bacterial SSU rRNA
Rfam family: Bacterial small subunit ribosomal RNA
Source: RNAcentral